ACAUGCUAAUAGCUGGAAGUAACUCCAACAACUUCAUCUAGGUACUUCUCAACUCCUUACCCACUUCCAAAACUUGAUAUGGUUGCUGUCCCUGAAUUUUCUGAUGCGGCUAUGGAGAAUUGUGGUUUGAUAACAUCCCUGAAAAUGUGCUACUUUACUAUGAUUUGCUUUCUUCAGCAGACAGGAAGCAGUUUCUCACAUUUGCUGUAUCACAUGAAGUAGCCCAUCAAUGGUUUGGCAAUCUAGUAACAAUGGAAUGGUGGAAUCAUUUAUGGCUUAAUGAAGGAGUUGCAACAUGGAUAAGUAUGGCCACUGACAUCAUGUUUCCUGAGUGGAAAAUAUGGACUCAAUUUCUUCUAAAGACAAAUAAUGGCCUGCGCGUAUGGAUGCAUUGGAACAAUCGCAUCUUAUUGAGGUAAGGAAGUGAAUGCUUGUGUUACAAGUUGCAAAUAGCACAUCACUUAUGCAUGUUAUAUUAUUCAUCUUGUUAGUGAUUCAAGUGAUAAAAUCAACAAUCUUUUUAAUUGGCAAACUACUUCCUAAAAUGGCAUGUUUUUCGGGAUUUCAAGGACCGCAAUGAACAUCAUCAAAGUAAAUGUAUUGACACAAAGUCAACUUAGUGUGUGUGUGUGUGUGUUCACAUGCAUGUGCAUCUGUUAUCAGAGUGUGUGGAGCACUGCAUAGUAGGAGGGUGGUGACAGUGCAGGGAAAGAUCCCAUAAUCCAACUCCAAAGAUUGAACACUGGCCAUCACAUGAUAUUUGGCAUA
Long non-coding RNA from Quercus robur (English oak), 768 nucleotides. RefSeq lists it as uncharacterized. Lineage: Eukaryota; Viridiplantae; Streptophyta; Magnoliopsida; Fagales; Fagaceae. The transcript is spliced from 3 exons. The record is from RefSeq and is a predicted model, not a curated record.